CCUACGGGUGGCUGCAGUGGGGAAUAUUGCACAAUGGGGGAAACCCUGAUGCAGCGACGCCGCGUGAGUGAAGAAGGAAUUCGUUACGUAAAGCUCUAUCAGCAGGGAAGAAAAUGACGGUACCUGAGUAAGAAGCCACGGCUAACUACGUGCCAGCAGCCGCGGAAAUACGUAGGGGGCAAGCGUUAUCCGGAUUUACUGGGUGUAAAGGGAGCGUAGACGGUGGGCCAAGUCUGGAGUGAAAUGCCGCGGCUUAACUGCGGAACUGCGUUGGAAACUGGCGAACUAGAGUGCGGGAGGGGUAAGCGGAAUUCCUCGUGUAGCGGUGACAUGCUUAGAUAUUAUGCGGAACCCCGGUGGCGAAGGCGGCUUACUGGACCGUACCUGCCGUUGCGGCUCGAACGCGUGGGGAGCAAACAGGAUUAGAUACCCCUGUAGUC
This 440-nucleotide ribosomal RNA is filed under the name uncultured bacterium. Its description in RNAcentral is "partial 16S ribosomal RNA". It matches the Rfam family "Bacterial small subunit ribosomal RNA", at positions 338 to 795 of the family's 1533-position model. The record is from RNAcentral.